AUUUAAAUAGUUUAAAAAAAACAUUGAUUUGUGGAAUCAAAAUUAUUAAGUUAAUUUUAAAUA
This 63-nucleotide transfer RNA is filed under the name Microplitis manilae. RNAcentral describes it as "tRNA-His". The record is from RNAcentral. Lineage: Eukaryota; Metazoa; Arthropoda; Insecta; Hymenoptera; Braconidae.